Long non-coding RNA from Armigeres subalbatus, 1509 nucleotides. RefSeq lists it as uncharacterized. The transcript is spliced from 4 exons. NCBI's taxonomy places the organism in Eukaryota, Metazoa, Arthropoda, Insecta, Diptera, Culicidae. The record is from RefSeq and is a predicted model, not a curated record.
CUGCCAUGUUGGUAAAUAAUUGGAACGGCAGCGGAGAGAAAGUUUUUCAAAUGUUCAAGGGAACAAAAUUACCGUGAAAUUAGUGUACGGCAACAUCUCAACGGUAUCCGGCUCUAUUAGGAAGGAAACUAGUAAAGUCCCAAUCCAACAUCGCUGCUGCUGAAGGUUCCCCAAUGCGGAUGGUCCAUAAUCAAUUGCUGCGCGACGAAGCUCUUAUAAUAGUUUUAAUCGAUGAAGGACCGGUUGCACGAUUGCACUCUUCAGGUUCCGUAACCCUCAUCAAAAUAAUAAAGCAACAACGGUUGCUGGAACCGACGGUUUUCCAAGGAAUAAAAAUAUGAACGGUUCUCAGAGAAGCUGUCGGAUUGAUCAUUGAUCUCCAAAUAUGAGGGAAGUGUUUUCCCAGUGAGGUGACUUUUACGGCUGGCCAGUAACCUGCGAAUUGCGAAUAACCUUCCGCUAUACUGCAGGACUGUCGAAAUUUACGUCAAUUUUAUUCAGUUCACCAGGAUGGAUGCCAGAGAUUACAUCGAGAUUGAAGUGAAACGCGGAGUUUGGUUGCAUCCACGUGAGACUCAUCAGAAUGUCAUCAAUAAAUCGAGACGCAGGAAAACGAUUACCAUCUACCUACCGAAAACAUGCAAUCGGACAGAACGGUGAUUGUUCGCACGACAUCGGCUUUCUGGUAACAACAUGGAAAUGGUUAAAAGCAGCCUUGACGACAUAACUUUGUAACUAUCGCUGAGUUGUCCUGGAACUGAGUGUCUUGGAGAUUUGACACUUUGCCGCUCGUUCACCUUCGUUGAUGUUUCAAAUUAUUCUCAGGGUACCAUCAACGACUCCGGUCUGGGAGUAGCCACUGGCGUACAAUUUUCUAGUUAAACACGAGCGACCUUCAACAAGUGUACAUCUAAAUUGUGUGCGAAGGAGGUGGUUAGAGUCUGCCGAGCAUCCGGAUAUGGAGCAUGGACACCGAUCUAUAGAUAAAAACAAUGCUUUUUGGUUGAAUCUAUGGGGCCGUACACUGAUUACGUAAGCAUUUUUUCUAGGUUUUUCAAACCCCACUUCCCCCUUUGUAAGAUUUUACCCAUACAAAUAAUUUAUUAUUUAUAUGGAACGUAAGUAGAUGGCAGACAACCCCCCUCCCGUCAAAAGUGCUUACGUAAUUAGUGUACGACCCCUAUAUAUAAUUAUUAUUGAUUUAUACAAGUAGAUUUGUUCCAAUUGAUAGGGAUGUAAAUAAAAUAAAAAAAUAUUUCAAUACAAAACUCGAGUUCACAAAAGAAACGAAGAAAACUCAAUCACACACCAUGUACAUCGCACUGUUUUACAUUGAAUAUUUUUACAUCCCUUCGAUUACAUCGUUUGUUUUGUACGUCGGAAUCAUAUUACAUCGUUCCUCUUUAUUACACAGAAGGUACUCGAGUACAUCGUGCAGUGUAAUAUUCAACAACCGAUGUAUUCAGUUGGUUGCAGCGGAUUCGAUGUAAUAUUCAACAACUUUUUUUG